GGUCCCCAAACUGAGGCUGGAUGUGGCUCUCCAAAGUCAUUUACCUGGCUCCCACCUUAGGAUUGCCCUCUAUCUGAAACAACUUGAAAGCACACAACAAUGACAAUCCUAAUUAACCUGACUCUCAUCUGCCAAAAGCAGGCCCACACUUCCCAUUGAAAUACUGGUAUGUUAAAGUAAAGGUAAAGGUUUCCCCUGACGUUAAGUCCAGUCGUGACCGACUCUGGGGGUUGGUGCUCAUCUCCAUUUCUAAGCCGAAGAGCCGGUCUUAUCCAUAGACACCUCCAAGGUCAUGUGGCCGGCAUGACUGCAAGCAGCGCCGUUACCUUUCCACUAGCGUGGUACCUAUUGAUCUACUCACAUUUGCAUGUUUUCAAACUGCUAGGUUGGCAGGAGCUGGGGCUAACAGCAGGCACUCAUUCCGCUCCCGGGAUUUGAAUCUGGGACCUUUUGGUCUGCAAGUUCAGCAGCUCAGCGCUUUAACACACUGUGCCAUCAGGGGCCCCACUGGUAAAGGUAAAAGGCACAACGUACCAUCACCACGCCAACAACAAUGCCCACUGCUCCAAUCACGUUCAGUUUUGUGGUGAAGAAGUCGUCAAUAGCUGCAUGACAUGACUAGAAGAGAAAUUAUAAUUACAAUACUGGACAACGAAGACUUUGCUAGAUUUUUACUAGAUCAUGAAGCAUACAUCUCAUUGAUUAUGUUGAUCUUAUGCCCAACCUAAAGGUUUAUAUGUGAUGCAGUCCGGCCUUAGUGUCCCUCUCACUAGGUGUCUCCCAAAACACUUCCUUUAGUGAUGCACCUCAUGUUCAUGGGCAAUUCCCAUGUCAAAUAAGCAAAACAGGAAGAAGAGGACAGGAAAGACGAAGGGGGAAGCUUGCACUGUAGGAUUAAUUUUCUCUGUGCAAACUGAACCAGUUUGUCCAUCCUUGGCAAAAAUGUGAGAAAUGUUCUGCCAAUAAUUGUUUGUUGCUUCCAUGACUAACGUUUCAGGGCAGUGAAAGCUGCAGAACAAGUUUCACAGAGCAGCAGCACAAUACUGCUUUGAGAAUGCAACAAGGGGGCGGGGUCAAAGGCAUUUCAAGCCAAGAUUUAUCACCCAUCUGAAGGCUCAACUCAAAUUUUGUUCUUUCAACUGUGGAACAAAAAGUUCACUAUAAGGCAGUCUGGCCACUAAAACACAAAGCAGCUAUUGAGAAUUCUAUAAUCAUGUCUACUGUAGGAAAAAGUCAGUGCAAUGUCUAUAUUCCAUGGCAGCUCCUUAAGUCAUCCAAGCUAUGCAGAAUAACUUAGAUGUCUGUAUUUAAUGGGAAAGUAUCUGAAAAAAUAGAUAGGAAGUAAGUUUGAAGCCCUCCCAAGACCCACAAGGAAAUAGCCUUUUCUUUCUUCCCAUAUGUCUCCUUUAUGUCCCCACUUUUAACUAGUGUUAUCCCAACUAUAGGAGUCCUUGGUGGUGCAGCAGAUUAAACUACUGAGCUACUGAACUUGCUAACUGAAUGGUUGGCGGUCCGAAUCCUGGGAGCUCCCACUGUUAGCCCCAGCUUCUGCCAACCUAGUACCUCGAAAAGAUGCAAAUGUGAGUAGAUCAAUAGGUACCACUCCAGCGGGAAGGUAAUGGCACUCCAUGCAGUCAUGCCAGCUACAUGACCUUGGAGGUGUCUAUGGACGACGCCAGUUCUUCAUCUUAGAAAUGGAGAUGAGCAUGACUAGGCUCAAUGUCAAGGGAAAACUUUUACCUUUUUACACCAGCUAUAUCACCCAGAGCCAGAAAGUCACACUCAUUCUGCUUUUUUGACUCUUCUCAGAAACUGAUAUAAUGAACCAUGAUUGAGAUUUGUGUCCAAAAGGGCCAUGGGAAACAAUCAUAUUGUGUAAAUGGACAGGAAGGGGCUAGAGGUAACAGAUAUGGAGGUAAUAUUUUCAUAGUUGACAGCUCAAAGAAUGAGCAGAAAAUAAAGUAGCUCAGAAAGAAUUA
Molecule: long non-coding RNA, 1979 nt
Organism: Anolis carolinensis (green anole)
Lineage: Eukaryota; Metazoa; Chordata; Lepidosauria; Squamata; Anolidae
Exons: 2
Source: RefSeq, a predicted model, not a curated record